Molecule: ribosomal RNA, 1030 nt
Filed under: Hirsutella thompsonii
Lineage: Eukaryota; Fungi; Ascomycota; Sordariomycetes; Hypocreales; Ophiocordycipitaceae
Description: SSU rRNA
Rfam family: Eukaryotic small subunit ribosomal RNA
Source: RNAcentral
AGUAUAGCAAUUAUACAGCGAAACUGCGAAUGGCUCAUUAUAUAAGUUAUCGUUUAUUUGAUAGUACCUUACUACUUGGAUAACCGUGGUAAUUCUAGAGCUAAUACAUGCUGAAAAUCCCGACUUCGGAAGGGAUGUAUUUAUUAGAUUCAAAACCAAUGCCCUCUGGGCUCACUGGUGAUUCAUGAUAACUCUUCGAAUCGCAUGGCCUUGCGCCGGCGAUGGUUCAUUCAAAUUUCUUCCCUAUCAACUUUCGAUGUUUGGGUAGUGGCCAAACAUGGUUGCAACGGGUAACGGAGGGUUAGGGCUCGACCCCGGAGAAGGAGCCUGAGAAACGGCUACUACAUCCAAGGAAGGCAGCAGGCGCGCAAAUUACCCAAUCCCGACACGGGGAGGUAGUGACAAUAAAUACUGAUACAGGGCUCUUUUGGGUCUUGUAAUUGGAAUGAGUACAAUUUAAAUCCCUUAACGAGGAACAAUUGGAGGGCAAGUCUGGUGCCAGCAGCCGCGGUAAUUCCAGCUCCAAUAGCGUAUAUUAAAGUUGUUGUGGUUAAAAAGCUCGUAGUUGAACCUUGGGCCUGGCUGGCCGGUCCGCCUCACCGCGUGUACUGGUCCGGCCGGGCCUUUCCCUCUGUGGAACCCCAUGCCCUUCACUGGGUGUGGCGGGGAAACAGGACUUUUACUUUGAAAAAAUUAGAGUGCUCCAGGCAGGCCUAUGCUCGAAUACAUUAGCAUGGAAUAAUGAAAUAGGACGCGCGGUUCUAUUUUGUUGGUUUCUAGGACCGCCGUAAUGAUUAAUAGGGACAGUCGGGGGCAUCAGUAUUCAAUUGUCAGAGGUGAAAUUCUUGGAUUUAUUGAAGACUAACUACUGCGAAAGCAUUUGCCAAGGAUGUUUUCAUUAAUCAGGAACGAAAGUUAGGGGAUCGAAGACGAUCAGAUACCGUCGUAGUCUUAACCAUAAACUAUGCCGACUAGGGAUCGGACGAUGUUAUUUUUUGACUCGUUCGGCACCUUACGAGAAAUCAAAGUG